CGAUAGUGAACCAGUACCGUGAGGGAAAGGCGAAAAGAACCCCGGCGAGGGGAGUGAAAAAGAACCUGAAACCGUGUACGUACAAGCAGUGGGAGCACGCUUAGGCGUGUGACUGCGUACCUUUUGUAUAAUGGGUCAGCGACUUAUAUUCUGUAGCAAGGUUAACCGAAUAGGGGAGCCGAAGGGAAACCGAGUCUUAACUGGGCGUUAAGUUGCAGGGUAUAGACCCGAAACCCGGUGAUCUAGCCAUGGGCAGGUUGAAGGUUGGGUAACACUAACUGGAGGACCGAACCGACUAAUGUUGAAAAAUUAGCGGAUGACUUGUGGCUGGGGGUGAAAGGCCAAUCAAACCGGGAGAUAGCUGGUUCUCCCCGAAAGCUAUUUAGGUAGCGCCUCGUGAAUUCAUCUCCGGGGGUAG
RNAcentral lists this ribosomal RNA (418 nucleotides) under Escherichia coli. RNAcentral describes it as "partial 23S ribosomal RNA". It matches the Rfam family "Bacterial large subunit ribosomal RNA", at positions 485 to 905 of the family's 2925-position model. The record is from RNAcentral. Lineage: Bacteria; Pseudomonadati; Pseudomonadota; Gammaproteobacteria; Enterobacterales; Enterobacteriaceae.